GCCAUCAUAGCUCAGUGGCAGAGCACUGGUCUUGUAAACCAGGGUCGAGUUCGAUCCUCCUGGUGGCU
This 68-nucleotide transfer RNA is filed under the name Trichonephila inaurata madagascariensis. It matches the Rfam family "tRNA". From Rfam's summary of the family: Transfer RNA (tRNA) molecules are approximately 80 nucleotides in length. Their secondary structure includes four short double-helical elements and three loops (D, anti-codon, and T loops). The record is from Rfam by way of RNAcentral. Lineage: Eukaryota; Metazoa; Arthropoda; Arachnida; Araneae; Nephilidae.